AUCGGAGGCAGUAUUAUUCCUGGGGCAUCCAAAAUAAAAGAAAAGGAAAAGACGCGAUAACCGAGAGCGGGAAAGAUCAGGGUUUUCCAAUCAAAUUUUGUAGAGGGAAGCUAAGAGGUUAAGGAAAACUAUUCUGUCUUUUUAAGGCUAAAGAAAGACAACUUCUGAAGAUGGCACUGAGAGCUGUAGGAAGACUCGUAUCUCAGAGGCUCUCCAGGGGAGCAUCUAGGAACUUUAAGUCGAAUGCAGUACCUUCUGAGAAUGAUCAGGUCAAGUCUGUGCAUAAGUGGGGCAGCAACGAGAUUUUGGAGGAACUCGAUGAACUCACCAUUGAUUGUAUGCAUCGGAGUGUAAUGCUUUUCUUCACCACUUCCUGACUGUUAUCGUAGGACAGUAUAUUACAUGUGAAAAGCAAAAAAGGCCAUACUAAUCAAAAUUAGUGACAAAACACCUAGGUGACCAACUUUGUGGUACAAAAAAUCCAGCCAUAAUAUUUUUAAUAAAUUAAAACAAUUUCAUAAAAAAGUGGCACAAAAAUCCCAGGUCAAAUAAUAAUGAUCAAAUUUAGUUUUGUCUACUUUAAAAAAAAAAAAACAUACCCUUUUAGCUUUUCUUCUUCUUCUUUUUUCUUCUUCUUUCUUCUCCUUCUCCCCACCACCAUCACUACCAGCGGCAAUAACAGAUCUCUACGCCAGCAGAAAUUUUAUGCUCCCCCGACCACACUACUGCGCCUCCGUAUCUCACCACUACCACCACCCUCCUCCGCCUCCUUCAAUUCCUUAACCAUCAACACCAUUACCACCACCACCCCCAACCUUAAUUAAAACCCUAACCAUAGUUUCAUUUUCAAAUUCAGAAGAAAACACAGGUGGAUCUGGUGAUGUUUUGAUAUUUCUGUAAGAUUAGAUGAAUAAAUUGUUGAAAUUAGGGUUGCGAUUGUAACUUCAAUUGAAGAACAGGGAUGGGUUGGUGACGAAUUGAUGAUUGAGAUCGAUUUUCAAGGAAGAGAUGACGGAGUGGUGAUGUCAAAUUUGAUAACCUAAUUUGUCUCAUCGGCGAUAGCGGUGAUGGAUUAUGAUGCAUAUGGAACUGGGUAAUAAGUCUGUUCAUAAUCAUGGCGGCAAUGGCGGCGGAGG
This is a long non-coding RNA of Papaver somniferum (opium poppy), 1136 nucleotides long. RefSeq lists it as uncharacterized. NCBI's taxonomy places the organism in Eukaryota, Viridiplantae, Streptophyta, Magnoliopsida, Ranunculales, Papaveraceae. The record is from RefSeq and is a predicted model, not a curated record. The transcript has 4 exons.